Molecule: long non-coding RNA, 582 nt
Organism: Oncorhynchus tshawytscha (Chinook salmon)
Lineage: Eukaryota; Metazoa; Chordata; Actinopteri; Salmoniformes; Salmonidae
Source: Ensembl
GUUGGGUAGAGGUCGCUAGGUGUUGGGUAGAGGUCGCUAGGUGUUGGGUAGAGGUCGCUAGGUGUUGGGUAGAGGUCGCUAGGUGUUGGGUUGAGGUCGCUAGGUGUUGGGUUGAGGUCGCUAGGUGUUGGGUUGAGGUCGCUAGGUGUCGGGUAGAUGUCGUUAGGUGUCGGGUAGAGGUCGCUAGGUGUCGCGUUGAGGUCGCUAGGUGUCGCGUUGAGGUCGCUAGGUGUCGGGUAGAGGUCGCUAGGUGUCGGGUAGAGGUCGCUAGGUGUCGGGUAGAGGUCGCUAGGUGUCGGGUAGAGGUCGCUAGGUGUCGGGUUGAGAUCGCUAGGUGUCGGGUUGAGGUCGCUAGGUGUCGGGUUGAGGACGCUAGGUGUUGGGGUGUUAUGUGGUUGAGUUUGUGAGCCUGUUCAUGUUAACAGAGUGUGUGAGCCUGUAGAUGUUGACAGAGUGUGUGUGUUGCAGGGCAGUGUGGGUACUGGGGUGCAGGUGGUCUCAUAACUGUGUGUGUUUGUGAGCCUGUUCAUGUUAACAGAGUGUGUGAGCCUGUUCAUGUUAACAGAGUGUGUGAGCCUGUAG